CUGUAAACAAUAUGGUUUCCCGAAAUAUUGCAGUAGCUCACGUUUAAAAAGAAGUAUAAAGUACAUGCACGCAACGAAAUUCUAAUGUCGUUGAAAUCGAUGAAAUACAUGAAAAAUUAACUAUAAAAAACAAUAAAAUUGUGUGGAAAAUCUAUAAGGAAAGUAAGUUGUUUUUUGGCGGGAAAUGUCGAAGCACAAACAGACCAUUUAAAGAGGGAAAAGCUUUAAAAUAUUACUGCUAUAAACAUAAAAUCACAUUUUAAACAAAAAAACACUUAAAAGACGAG
Molecule: non-coding RNA, 287 nt
Organism: Paramuricea clavata
Lineage: Eukaryota; Metazoa; Cnidaria; Anthozoa; Malacalcyonacea; Plexauridae
Source: the annotation of a GenBank genome assembly